RNAcentral lists this unclassified non-coding RNA (578 nucleotides) under Hevea brasiliensis (rubber tree). The record is from RNAcentral. Lineage: Eukaryota; Viridiplantae; Streptophyta; Magnoliopsida; Malpighiales; Euphorbiaceae.
AAAUUUGAUAAAUUUUAGUCAUAAAAAAACUAAAAUAACAAUAUAGCCUUAUUCUAAACUAUUUUUUUCAACAACUAAAAUGUUUCUUUUUCUAAAAAGCACUUUUUGGCUGUCCAACCACAAUGCCAAACGAGCUACAUGAGAACUAAAUUCACAAUGUAUAUAUUCUGACUAAAACCCUUACUCUAAGAGUCUUCCACAACUCUAACCUUUGGUUAACUCCUUCAUUAGUUUCUUUCACAAAGAUAAUAUCAUUAUGCACCAUGGGACAUCAUCUUUAGUAUAAAUAAUUAGCUCAUCCAUAACUAACAUAAAUACAUACGGACUCAAAGCCAAUUCCUGAUGUAAACCCACUGUUGCGAGGAACUCAUCUGUAUUCCCUUUCAAUGUUCUUACAUUUGUGAUUGCUCCUUGAUAUAUCUCCUUAAUGAAAUCCAUAUAUUUGAGAUGGGCUUCUCUCUUCUCCAGCACUCGCUAAAGAACAUCCCUUAAUAUCAUAUACUUUUUCUAGGUUAAUAAAUACCAUAUAGAGUUCCCUCUUCCUCUUCCUACAUAUUUUCAUUAAUCUUCUUAACAAA